GUUGUUAUAGUUUAAAAAAAACACUAGACUGUGAUUCUAAAAAUAAAAGUUAAAAUCUUUUUAAUAAC
RNAcentral lists this transfer RNA (68 nucleotides) under Torpedo marmorata (marbled electric ray). RNAcentral describes it as "tRNA-His". It matches the Rfam family "tRNA". From Rfam's summary of the family: Transfer RNA (tRNA) molecules are approximately 80 nucleotides in length. Their secondary structure includes four short double-helical elements and three loops (D, anti-codon, and T loops). Lineage: Eukaryota; Metazoa; Chordata; Chondrichthyes; Torpediniformes; Torpedinidae. The record is from RNAcentral.